RNAcentral lists this ribosomal RNA (251 nucleotides) under Notiocoelotes qiongzhongensis. RNAcentral's name for it is "partial 12S ribosomal RNA". Lineage: Eukaryota; Metazoa; Arthropoda; Arachnida; Araneae; Agelenidae. The record is from RNAcentral.
AUCGACAAUCCACGUUAANUUUCACUUUCAUUAAUAAUUUAUAUACCGCCAUCUCAAGAAUUAAUUUAAAAAUAUUAUUCUAAAUAAUAUAUAAAAAGUUAGGUCAAGGUGUAAUCAAUAUUAAAGAAUGAGAUGAAUUACAUUAAAUAUAAUUUAAAGAAAAUCAUUUAAAACAAAUUUAAAUAAGAAUUUAAAAGUAAUAUUAAAAUAAUAAUUCAAUAUGAUUUAAAAUAAAUGUGUACACAUCGCCC